This is a long non-coding RNA of Cydia pomonella (codling moth), 2122 nucleotides long. RefSeq lists it as uncharacterized. The transcript is spliced from 2 exons. NCBI's taxonomy places the organism in Eukaryota, Metazoa, Arthropoda, Insecta, Lepidoptera, Tortricidae. The record is from RefSeq and is a predicted model, not a curated record.
UCGACAUAAGUCAAACGAAAUAGCUAUCGAUAUACUUAAUAUAUGUAAAAGUAUUUGCCAUAAACUCAAAUAUCCAAAGAGGAAAAUGGAGACAUAACAAAGAGUGUAAAACAAUGAAUAUAAUAGAAAUUCGGCUUCAUAAUAAUUUAUGCUUAGUUUUUUGGAAACAUAAAAAACAAAACUUUGGGAAUAAAUACAAUUAUUUUUAUUAAAGAAAAAGAUCGGGCCAGGGCGGAUCGGAGCGAGCCGUCACAUGGGCUUUCAGGAGCGCCACCCUCACAGGACCGCUCCGGAGCGUCCGGGCCAUCCGACACGUGUGUUAACGUAAUAAACUACGUUAACACUAUCGUUGAGACUCCGAGCCAGAGACGACCCGGGCGGGCCGAGACAGGCCGGGCCGGGCUGUCCGAGUUCACCGAGCCGUCCGAGCGACGGACUGUUCAUGACAAAUGUCACAAAUGUCAAUUAUAUUAUAUUUCAUUCAAUCAUGUUUGCUGCUCAAUAGAAAGAAAUAAUAAAAUGAAAAUAUUGGCACUGGCUUCCGUAAGCCAAGACACUUUCAAAGCCGUUCACGACAGAAUUAAAGACUGUUUGAGGAAACAAAAAACAAGAUUUCUGGAACCAAUUUCAAGUAAACACCGUCUGGCUCUCUGCUUAAGGAACCAACGAGAACCCGUCAGGUCUCUUCCCGUCAGAGCCACUGAGGCCCGAAGGUUCCAGCACGCACGGGACGUUUGCAGAACCUAGCGCUCUCCGCACGAUAGCAUUAAGCGCGUGGUGCCGUGCAAGGGGCACACCGACCACAACUCAACGUGUGAUGACCGUUGCUCUCCACCAUAGUACCGCAGAUGCAUGCGUGGGGUUCACACCCUGCACAGCCCAGCACAGCAACUGCAAUCCGCAAUCUGCGUCGAGUCGUUCUCAAGCAGUGUACCCAAAUGCGGAGAGGGAAGCGCGUGAAGCUACGCUCCAGACUCCGGCUUCGACACUGCGAGCACCCUCGCCCUGUCUACAUCCACCGCACCAAGCUACCUUAACCCCCACGUCAUCCCACAAACGCUGACGAUCCGAUCUCUCCGGCGCCGUUGCCUCAGGGUUGAGAGCCAGCCAAGCCUCCACAGCUUCCGCGGUAAAAGGUAUGGAUACUUUUAUCACCAUCUGGAGAUAAAAUUUGUGUGACAAGGUCCGACAAACAACGACCCCUGCUGCCGACGCCAGAAAGGCCGGCAAGCUAACGCCCCGUACUUAUUAUGUAUUUGCAGGUUUUUGACAACGGGAGAUUCUUUCAAAUUCAAAACCCUCUUUCGAAAAUUCCACUACUCGUAAUAUCGUCAGAGAAACAUGUCGGGCCAUUGUCGAUUGCAUGUUGACCGAGAUGAUGCCACAGCCUACCGAAGAGAUGUGAAAAACAUCGCUGACAAGUUUGAAAGGGCUGUGGCAUUUCCCAAAUUAUAUCGGAGCAUUGGACGGAAAACAUUUCUGCAUUGAAGCGCCAAGCUUAAGACUCCGGUUCGAAUCUAGCCUUUGCCACUGGAGGGCUUCUUCACAUUUUCUUUAAUACUUAAAUAAAAAAAUAUUUAUUUCAGAUGAAACGCGAUCCAUAUUUUGUUAGUAACAUUUUAGCCUUAACACUAUGAUUAGACCUACCAAUAACUACUUCUGUCCGGUACCUACUGAGCGGGCAGUCGAGGCGCUCGUCUAACGCCCUCAGCAUGCUGUUAGUGCUCCCGCGCACACGUCGUAGCAAUGACGCCAAACUCUUACGUCUAAUAAUGGCAUAAAAGUCGUCCGUUCGCGCCUCGGCGAACAUGCUCGACGCACUACAAUGCCUCGGCAGCCUUAACAGCAUCCUAAGGAUAUUAUUGUAUCGGACACGCAAAGUGUUGUAGGCCCUUAUAUACCCUCCUGACGAAUUGGUAUCAAAAUAUGAUAGUUUAAAUUCACUCUAUCUACUUGACGAAAAGUUAAAUUUUGAUUGAGGCUUAUAUACUACGUGUAGGACGACGGUCGUCAGGAGGAUAUGACAUGUAUUUCAAUUCAGAAGAAACAACUUUAGCUUUUCUGCAUUCGUGAACUUAGACCUAUUUAUCGAUUUCUUAAUAAAACAAAUGUUAAAACGCUC